RNAcentral lists this ribosomal RNA (482 nucleotides) under Blastocystis sp. Its description in RNAcentral is "SSU rRNA". It matches the Rfam family "Eukaryotic small subunit ribosomal RNA", at positions 460 to 953 of the family's 1831-position model. Lineage: Eukaryota; Bigyra; Opalinata; Blastocystidae. The record is from RNAcentral.
GGAGGUAGUGACAAUAAAUCACAAUGCGGAACUAUUAGUUUUGCAAUUGGAUUGAGAACAAUGUACAAAUGUUAUCGAUAAACAAUUGGAGGGCAAGUCUGGUGCCAGCAGCCGCGGUAAUUCCAGCUCCAAUAGCGUAUAUUAACGUUGUUGCAGUUAAAAAGCUCGUAGUUGAAUUGAAGUGAACUUGGGUUGAUGUGAUCUUCGGAUGACAUGAAUCAAAGUUGACUCUUUCCAAAGUCAAUACAUUGGUAUUCAUUUAUCUUUGUAUUGUGUUUGGUCAUUUACUGUGAGAAAAUUAGAGUGUUCAAAGCAGACGUUUGUUUGAAUACAUUAGCAUGGAAUAAUCAUAUAUGGCUUUCAUGUUGAUUUGAUUGGUUUGAAUAUGGAAGCAAGAUUAAAAGGGACAGUUGGGGGUAUUCAUAUUCAAUAGUCGGAGGUGAAAUUCUGGGAUUUAUGGAAGAUGAACAAGUGCGAAAGCA